This 491-nucleotide ribosomal RNA is filed under the name uncultured bacterium. Its description in RNAcentral is "partial 16S ribosomal RNA". It matches the Rfam family "Bacterial small subunit ribosomal RNA", at positions 29 to 507 of the family's 1533-position model. The record is from RNAcentral.
AGUGAACGCUGGCGGUAGACCUAACACAUGCAAGUCGAACGGCAGCACAGUAAGAGCUUGCUCUUACGGGUGGCGAGUGGCGGACGGGUGAGGAAUACAUCGGAAUCUACUUUUUCGUGGGGGAUAACGUAGGGAAACUUACGCUAAUACCGCAUACGACCUACGGGUGAAAGCAGGGGAUCUUCGGACCUUGCGCGAUUGAAUGAGCCGAUGUCGGAUUAGCUAGUUGGCGGGGUAAAGGCCCACCAAGGCGACGAUCCGUAGCUGGUCUGAGAGGAUGAUCAGCCACACUGAACUGAGACACGGUCCAGACUCCUACGGGAGGCAGCAGUGGGGAAUAUUGGACAAUGGGCGCAAGCCUGAUCCAGCCAUACCGCGUGGGUGAAGAAGGCCUUCGGGUUGUAAAGCCCUUUUGUUGGGAAAGAAAAGCAGCAGGUUAAUACCCCGCUGUUCUGACGGUACCCAAAGAAUAAGCACCGGCUAACUUCGUG